This 433-nucleotide ribosomal RNA is filed under the name uncultured bacterium. RNAcentral describes it as "partial 16S ribosomal RNA". It matches the Rfam family "Bacterial small subunit ribosomal RNA", at positions 29 to 507 of the family's 1533-position model. The record is from RNAcentral.
AACGAACGCUGGCGGCAUGCCUAACACAUGCAAGUCGAACGAGACCUUCGGGUCUAGUGGCGCACGGGUGCGUAACGCGUGGGAAUCUGCCCUUCGGUUGGGAAUAACUGAGAGAAAUUUCAGCUAAUACCUUAUAAUGUCUUCGGACCAAAGAUUUAUCGCCGAGGGAUGAGCCCGCGUAGGAUUAGGUAGUUGGUGGGGUAAUGGCCUACCAAGCCGACGAUCCUUAGCUGGUCUGAGAGGAUGAUCAGCCACACUGGGACUGAGACACGGCCCAGACUCCUACGGGAGGCAGCAGUGGGGAAUAUUGGACAAUGGGCGAAAGCCUGAUCCAGCAAUGCCGCGUGAGUGAUGAAGGCCUUAGGGUUGUAAAGCUCUUUUACCCGGGAUGAUAAUGACAGUACCGGGAGAAUAAGCUCCGGCUAACUCCGCG